CGGAGCUCAGGCAGUAAUAUUUGCUCACCCUGCCCCCCAUCACCUCCUGUUGUGCGGCCCGGUUCCUAGCAGGCCACGGACUGCCUCCUGCUUUGCACUGCUUCAGAAGUUGGCAAACAUCUUGAGGGAAGCCUGGCUCUGUUGACACUCCUGGUCUCCAGUUUUGACAUCCUAGCCCCAGAUGAUGCACCUAAAGUUGAAAAGCUGACUUCCACCUCCUGGGCAACGUGGCUCAGGUUUGUGCGCAGGUCAAGACAAAACUGAUGUCAACACCAGGAAUGAAGGAGAAAUCUGUGGCUUAAUGAAGGUGGAGACCCAGCGUGAAGGAGGCUGUGUCUGUAAGGCAGGGAAAAAAGCCUUCACCAGGAACCAGUGCUGGCACCCUGAUGUCAGACUUCAAGCCUCCAAAGCUGUGAGGGUACUGGUAGCCGCAUAAAACAAGUUGGGGCAUAUUCCAACAAAAUAGAACAUUUUGUGAAAGAGUGUAUAUGAAAAAGUUACUUCUUCCUUGAAUGUGUAAUAGAAUUCACCAGUGGAACCACCAGGGAUUGACAAUUUCUUUAUGGAUUGCUAUAGAAGCCAGGACCCUAAGCCACCAUCUCAAGAGAUAUUUUUGAACUGAGGCUUCUUCCAGGUA
RNAcentral lists this long non-coding RNA (637 nucleotides) under Homo sapiens (human). RNAcentral describes it as "HSALNT0344741". Lineage: Eukaryota; Metazoa; Chordata; Mammalia; Primates; Hominidae. The record is from RNAcentral.